UACAGAGGGGGCAAGCGUUAUUCGGAAUUAUUGGGCGUAAAGGGCGCGUAGGCGGCCUGGCAAGUGGAAGGUGAAAUCCCUCGGCUUAACCGAGGAACUGCCCUCCAAACUGCUUGGCUUGAGUCCGGGAGAGGUGAGUGGAAUUCCUGGUGUAGCGGUGAAAUGCGCAGAUAUCAGGAAGAACACCCGUGGCUAAGGCGGCUCUCUAGUACGGUACUGACGCUGAGACGCGAAAGCGUGGGGAGCGAACAGG
This 253-nucleotide ribosomal RNA is filed under the name uncultured bacterium. RNAcentral describes it as "partial 16S ribosomal RNA". It matches the Rfam family "Bacterial small subunit ribosomal RNA", at positions 524 to 776 of the family's 1533-position model. The record is from RNAcentral.